UACGAAGGGUGCAAACGUUGCUCGGAAUUAUUGGGCGUAAAGAGCUCGUAGGCGGUUUGUUGCGUCGGCCGUGAAAACCUGCAGCUUAACUGGGAGCUUGCGGUCGAUACGGGCAUCACUGGAGUUCGGCAGGGGAGACUGGAAUUCCUGGUGUAGCGGUGAAAUGCGCAGAUAUCAGGAGGAACACCGGUGGCGAAGGCGGGUCUCUGGGCCGAUACUGACGCUGAGGAGCGAAAGCGUGGGGAGCGAGCAGG
Molecule: ribosomal RNA, 254 nt
Filed under: uncultured bacterium
Lineage: Bacteria
Description: partial 16S ribosomal RNA
Rfam family: Bacterial small subunit ribosomal RNA
Source: RNAcentral